GGAGUAAUACCCAAGUUGGUGAAGGGGCUUCCCUGCUAAGGAAGUAGACGGCGCAAGCCGUGCGUGAGUUCGAGUCUCACUUACUCCGCCA
Molecule: transfer RNA, 91 nt
Filed under: Candidatus Onthovivens merdipullorum
Lineage: Bacteria; Bacillati; Bacillota; Bacilli; Caryophanales
Description: tRNA-Ser
Rfam family: tRNA
About the family: Transfer RNA (tRNA) molecules are approximately 80 nucleotides in length. Their secondary structure includes four short double-helical elements and three loops (D, anti-codon, and T loops).
Source: RNAcentral